This is a non-coding RNA of Misgurnus anguillicaudatus (oriental weatherfish), 803 nucleotides long. The record is from RefSeq and is a predicted model, not a curated record. Lineage: Eukaryota; Metazoa; Chordata; Actinopteri; Cypriniformes; Cobitidae.
AGCCCAUCAUUAAUAUUUCUGGAGGUUUAAAGAUCGGUGACAGCAUUACAGUAGCGUGUUACACCUUACACACCUGUCCAUACAGAAAACCAAACAUCAGGCUGAAGGGUAUUGAAGGAUCUGAUAAAAUAGAUGAUGUUCAUAUAAAAAAUGGUCAAUGGAAAACCACUCGGACACGCACCGGUGUUGUGAAGGCUGAACACUCAGAUAUUGAGUGUACUGUAACACAUCAUGGACGCAUAACAACAAGAACUACAAAAUCACAAAGUGCAAAAUAUUCUUUUAUAGAGUCUCCAAAACCAGUGACUCCAGUCCAAGAUAAUACAUUUGUUUCCCAGAAUAAAACAGAUUUGAGGACCGACUUGAAGACAAUUGGGCUUUACAUUCUAGCCCCCUCGUUUGCUGUGCUUCUUAUUUGCAUAUUUGCUGGAGUCAUCAUAUACAAGAAGUGUAACACGUCUUCACGACACAGAGUCCAGCGUUCUCUUUAAAGUAAGAUAUGUAUCACAAACUAGUAAGAAACUUACCGUUAAGUGUAAGUGGUAGUUAGAUAUUUAUGAUUAUGCUUAAGUAUGUUUACUGAAAAGUUUAAUAUGUUUCUUUGCCAUUUGGCAGAUAAAAAUAUUUAAACUGUAUGCUAACCUUAAAUGAUUUAUUAACUUUUGUUUCUUUUUUUAUUGUGCAAUUUAGUCAGAGAAAAUCCUGUAAGUAUAUAAUUGAUGAUUACAUUACACCAUUUUAGCGAAUUAACAGUUUAUAGACCUAAUAAAGUGUCUGAAAUGUUGAUUUUACCUCUGUGUCUC